CCGGGGUGCUCGAGUGGCGAACGGGUGAGUAACACGUGGGCGAUCUGCCCUGCACUUCGGGAUAAGCUUGGGAAACUGGGUCUAAUACCGGAUAGGACCAUCGUUUAGUGUCGGUGGUGGAAAGUUUUUUCGGUGUGGGAUGAGCUCGCGGCCUAUCAGCUUGUUGGUGGGGUAAUGGCCUACCAAGGCGUCGACGGGUAGCCGGCCUGAGAGGGUGUACGGCCACAUUGGGACUGAGAUACGGCCCAG
This 249-nucleotide ribosomal RNA is filed under the name uncultured Actinomycetales bacterium. Its description in RNAcentral is "partial 16S ribosomal RNA". It matches the Rfam family "Bacterial small subunit ribosomal RNA", at positions 82 to 334 of the family's 1533-position model. The record is from RNAcentral. Lineage: Bacteria; Bacillati; Actinomycetota; Actinomycetes; Actinomycetales.